GGGGUUGUGGUCUAGUGGUAUGACAUCUUCUUAGCAUUGCUCUUGGAGCAUUACUGAGUGGAGAAGGUUCUGGGUUCGAUUCCCAGCUACUCCA
RNAcentral lists this transfer RNA (94 nucleotides) under Aureobasidium namibiae CBS 147.97. It matches the Rfam family "tRNA". Rfam says of the family: Transfer RNA (tRNA) molecules are approximately 80 nucleotides in length. Their secondary structure includes four short double-helical elements and three loops (D, anti-codon, and T loops). Further hydrogen bonds mediate the characteristic L-shaped molecular structure. tRNAs have two regions of fundamental functional importance: the anti-codon, which is responsible for specific mRNA codon recognition, and the 3' end, to which the tRNAs corresponding amino acid is attached (by aminoacyl-tRNA synthetases). tRNAs cope with the degeneracy of the genetic code in two manners: having more than one tRNA (with a specific anti-codon) for a particular amino acid; and 'wobble' base-pairing, i.e. permitting non-standard base-pairing at the 3rd anti-codon position. The record is from Rfam by way of RNAcentral. Lineage: Eukaryota; Fungi; Ascomycota; Dothideomycetes; Dothideales; Saccotheciaceae.